RNAcentral lists this ribosomal RNA (510 nucleotides) under uncultured Cloacibacterium sp. Its description in RNAcentral is "bacterial SSU rRNA". It matches the Rfam family "Bacterial small subunit ribosomal RNA", at positions 28 to 524 of the family's 1533-position model. Lineage: Bacteria; Pseudomonadati; Bacteroidota; Flavobacteriia; Flavobacteriales; Weeksellaceae. The record is from RNAcentral.
GAUGAACGCUAGCGGGAGGCCUAACACAUGCAAGCCGAGCGGUAUUGUUUCUUCGGAAAUGAGAGAGCGGCGUACGGGUGCGGAACACGUGUGCAACCUGCCUUUAUCUGGGGGAUAGCCUUUCGAAAGGAAGAUUAAUACUCCAUAAUAUAUUGAACGGCAUCGUUUAAUAUUGAAAGCUCCGGCGGAUAGAGAUGGGCACGCGCAAGAUUAGCUAGGUUGGUGAGGUAACGGCUCACCAAGGCGAUGAUCUUUUAGGGGGCCUGAGAGGGGUGAUCCCCCACACUGGGUACUGAGACACGGGGACCAGGACUCCUACGGGGGAGGGCAGCAGGUGGAGGGAAUAUUGGUCAAUGGGUGCAAGCCUGAACCAGCCAUCCCGCGUGAAGGACGACUGCCCUAUGGGUUGUAAAACUUCUUUUGUAUAGGGAUAAACCUACCCUCGUGAGGGUAGCUGAAGGUACUAUACGAAUAAGCACCGGCUAACUCCGUGCCAGCAGCCGCGGUAAU